CGGCGGGCUAGGCCGGCGGGCUGGCGGUCCGCUGUAACCCGAAACCCGCCUUACGCGGGGGCCGAAGCCGAGGGGGCGGCCCGGUACCCCUCGGGUGUCCCGCCCGCCGGGCCGACCGAGGAACCACCGGUCCUCCGGGGGCCCGAGGUGGCGGGGCCGCCGCCGGAAGGCGGCGUGCCACCGCCUUUGCCGGGGCACCGGGUCAGGCCCGAGAGGGAGCAGCCCACCCCGGACUCGGGCCGCUCGGAGGGUAACCGGGGGGAGGUCGGCCCGGUGGGUCCGGGCCCCGAGGGGCCGGGUCCACCCCUCGGCGUGCCCGCCG
RNAcentral lists this signal recognition particle RNA (322 nucleotides) under Methanopyri archaeon. RNAcentral describes it as "signal recognition particle sRNA". It matches the Rfam family "Archaeal signal recognition particle RNA". The record is from RNAcentral. Lineage: Archaea; Methanobacteriati; Methanobacteriota; Methanopyri.